RNAcentral lists this ribosomal RNA (390 nucleotides) under uncultured Acholeplasma sp. RNAcentral's name for it is "bacterial SSU rRNA". It matches the Rfam family "Bacterial small subunit ribosomal RNA", at positions 991 to 1382 of the family's 1533-position model. Lineage: Bacteria; Bacillati; Mycoplasmatota; Mollicutes; Acholeplasmatales; Acholeplasmataceae. The record is from RNAcentral.
UUGCAAAGCUAUGGAGACAUAGUGGAGGUUAGUCAAGGAGACAGGUGGUGGCAUGGUUGUCGUCAGCUCGUGUCGUGAGAUGUUGGGUUAAGUCCCGCAACGAGCGCAACCCUUAUUGCUAGUUACCAUCAUUAAGUUUGGGGGACUCUAGCGAGACUGCCAGUGAUAAACUGGAGGAAGGUGGGGAUGACGUCAAAUCAUCAUGCCCCUUAUGACCUGGGCUACAAACGUGAUACAAUGGCUGAAACAAAGGGCAGCGAAGCAGUGAUGUGGAGCGAAACCCAAAAAAGCAGUCUCAGUUCGGAUUGAAGUCUGCAACUCGACUUCAUGAAGUUGGAAUCGCUAGUAAUCGCGGAUCAGAACGCCGCGGUGAAUACGUUCUCGGGGUUU